This is a long non-coding RNA of Dipodomys ordii (Ord's kangaroo rat), 372 nucleotides long. RefSeq lists it as uncharacterized. The record is from RefSeq and is a predicted model, not a curated record. Lineage: Eukaryota; Metazoa; Chordata; Mammalia; Rodentia; Heteromyidae. The transcript has 3 exons.
UCUGUAGACAGCACUGCAGGAGGAUUAGUGAGUAGAUGGCUCGUGAGCCUGUAGGAAAAUGGUAGCGAUCAGGAGGCAUCAUCCUGGGUUCGCCAAGUACCAAUCCAGACAACACAAUCUCCUUUACCUGGCUGAUGGCUUUCUAGACUCGUUGACAUGCAAGGCACCAUGGACGUGCUGUUUUCAAAUAUGGAAAGGUCUGCCGUGAAAAACUGAGCAGAGAUAUUGGCUGCAGUGUUAGCAACAGUGCUUGGCAGCCAGGCUGACAGACCCGGGUAAACGACAGUGAUGGAUGGCUUCGAGCAGGGCCCCUUAAUCUACCGUGCUGCCAUUGAUUAGUUUGGCUGCACAGCACCCCGGGGUGGUGGACGU